Molecule: transfer RNA, 607 nt
Filed under: Acinetobacter baumannii
Lineage: Bacteria; Pseudomonadati; Pseudomonadota; Gammaproteobacteria; Moraxellales; Moraxellaceae
Rfam family: tRNA (bases 60-133)
Source: RNAcentral
ACGAAAGAUUGACGAUUGGUAAGAAUCCACAACAAGUUGUUCUUCAUAGAUGUAUCUGAGGGUCUGUAGCUCAGUUGGUUAGAGCACACGCUUGAUAAGCGUGGGGUCACAAGUUCAAGUCUUGUCAGACCCACCAUGACUUUGACUGGUUGAAGUUAUAGAUAAAAGAUACAUGAUUGAUGAUGUAAGCUGGGGACUUAGCUUAGUUGGUAGAGCGCCUGCUUUGCACGCAGGAGGUCAGGAGUUCGACUCUCCUAGUCUCCACCAGAACUUAAGAUAAGUUCGGAUUACAGAAAUUAGUAAAUAAAGAUUGAGAUCUUGGUUUAUUAACUUCUGUGAUUUCAUUAUCACGGUAAUUAGUGUGAUCUGACGAAGACACAUUAACUCAUUAACAGAUUGGCAAAAUUGAGUCUGAAAUAAAUUGUUCACUCAAGAGUUUAGGUUAAGCAAUUAAUCUAGAUGAAUUGAGAACUAGCAAAUUAACUGAAUCAAGCGUUUUGGUAUGUGAAUUUAGAUUGAAGCUGUACAGUGCUUAAGUGCACAGUGCUCUAAACUGAAAUGUUGAAGUUACUAACUUGUAGGUAACAUCGACUGUUUGGGGUUGUAU